ACCCACCAAAUAGUGAUAGUAUUUGUGCUUUUAAUUUGAUAAAGCAACUACUUUUCUCCUCCAGGAUAAGAAAGGUCAUUUUUAAAAUAGCUUGUAAAAAAAAGGACAUUAUCUGUAUCUAUACAUCAAUAUACAUGUAUGACACACACACAAAUAUGGAUAAUUCUUUGUUGUCUUAAAGUCUGUUGGGAUCUAAUUGAAGUACCAUGAAGUGGACACACUUAUAGUCAAUGGCAUUUAGUGUAUUUACAGAGGUUUGCAAGCCUCUGCUAACCAGAUUUUAGGAGAGUGUCAUCUCCUAGAGAAGGCCUAUUGGCCAAGGAAACCUUGAGGUGUCUUUCCCUGUGCCGUUCAUUCAGCCCAGUUCCCCCCUAGAGCAUUCUAACUGCAAGACCUUUGUCAGGUUAAAUGAGGAUGUAUCUUUUUACAGCCUCUCGGCAACUAUGUAACUGGGGAUUACUUCCUCCAGGGCCUGGAGCUGCCCCUUUAAAUGUAUUCAUAAAGGAACAUGGUUUUCCAAUCCCCCAGGCUGUGUGGAAGGAACAGAACGCAACCUCAGUACACACAGUGAUCAACUGCAGUUUUUGACAUCUCCCAACUCAUCUCCCUUUCCUGAGCCCUAAGGAAAGACACGUUGACUCUCCGUGAACCUGCUCCUUGUGAACGUUUUCGAUCAGUGGGACCACACACAUUUGGGAGGCUGUUCAUUAAUUUGUGAAGAAGCACAAAGACCCUGGGAUAGCUUCACUCGCAAGACCGCAAGCUCUCUGAGUUCCCAGCCAGCAGCCAGCAGCCAGCAGCCAGCAGCCAGCAG
Long non-coding RNA from Mus musculus (house mouse), 814 nucleotides. RefSeq annotates it as predicted gene, 53879. NCBI's taxonomy places the organism in Eukaryota, Metazoa, Chordata, Mammalia, Rodentia, Muridae. The record is from RefSeq and is a predicted model, not a curated record. The transcript has 3 exons.